UACGGGGGUGGCUAGCGUUGUUCGGAAUUACUGGGCGUAAAGGGCGCGUAGGCGGUCUGCUAAGUUGGAUGUGAAAACUCUGGGCUUAACCCAGAGCCUGCAUUCAAUACUGACAGGCUAGAGUUCUGGAGGGGAUAGCGGAAUUCCUGGUGUAGCGGUGAAAUGCGUAGAUAUCAGGAGGAACACCGGUGGCGAAGGCGGAUCUCUGGGCCGAUACUGACGCUGAGGAGCGAAAGCGUGGGGAGCGAACAGG
RNAcentral lists this ribosomal RNA (253 nucleotides) under uncultured bacterium. RNAcentral's name for it is "partial 16S ribosomal RNA". It matches the Rfam family "Bacterial small subunit ribosomal RNA", at positions 524 to 776 of the family's 1533-position model. The record is from RNAcentral.